CACCUAGGGAUGCGUUUGCUAUGCAUGAGUAGUCCUGUGGACUUCAUGGGCUCUGCUUGCUGGUUGGAAAUGCAGCUUGUUUGUGCUCAGGGAUCAGCCAGUUCUCACUGCAGCAGAGCUGUUCCAGGCAGUAAGGCCACAGGGAUAGAGCUGAAGGGAAACUACUGGAAGCCAUUGGGAAAGGCCUACUACGUCAUCUUGUCCCUGGUCUGCCAUGUACUUUUUAAGUUUUCAUUUUUCCAGGUACUUUCUGUUCCUCGCCAGUUACGGUCUUGCCAAGUUUUACAGGAUUUGUUUCUUCUUCCAGCCUGUCAGCUUGGAAGGCCCAGCUGAGAUUUUGAAAGGGCCUACCUGCCAGGAGAAUGGAUAAAUUCUGUAACAUUACAGUGGUGUUCGCUUGGCAGCAUCUGCAGGAGCCACUAAUGGAGGAUCUCAUCUUGUGGGGGAAAAAAAAAAAGGUUAAAAAAGGAGAGAAAUGCAGCUGGAAGAAGAGGAGAUUCAGAAGCAAAGGGAAGAUGUCGAUGCCAAGUGAAAACAGCACCA
RNAcentral lists this long non-coding RNA (543 nucleotides) under Cyanistes caeruleus (blue tit). RNAcentral describes it as "lncRNA (ENSCCEG00000017705.1)". The record is from RNAcentral. Lineage: Eukaryota; Metazoa; Chordata; Aves; Passeriformes; Paridae.